This is a long non-coding RNA of Physcomitrium patens, 686 nucleotides long. RefSeq lists it as uncharacterized. NCBI's taxonomy places the organism in Eukaryota, Viridiplantae, Streptophyta, Bryopsida, Funariales, Funariaceae. The record is from RefSeq and is a predicted model, not a curated record.
UUGCAUGAGUAGGGCUACUCUCCGUACAAGAUCAAACUGCUAUUCAGUUACUAUUUGAGUCGUGGUUGACGCAUUGCGGGCAGCGAUACAUAGUACUGUUUGAUUGCGUGAUUGUGUCGCGGCUGUGGAUCUCCACGAUACUUCAUGUAUGAAUCGGCGUAACAGGCCUUGAAUUUGCCUUUGCGUUUGCAAUGUUUCUCCACUUGCAAAGCUACUUGAUCACCAAUAUAAAAAGAUAUGGUGUAAUACAUUUUCUUGUCAUAACCUCCUUUUUGCCACAGCUGUACUUUAGCUCGAGUGUUUUCUUUUUUUUGAUAUAAGAGGGUAUCAUCCCAAGCAAGGUAUUGGGGAAGGUGAGACCUAAUUUGCUUCUUCAUUGGAAUGCUCACGUUGGCUGGUAUUGAGCCAGUCAAGCAACUUGCUAGUGGAGCCUCAUACAUCUCGUUCUCCAUGAUGUACUGCGAGUUGUGGAUAAAGCAGCUGACUGUGUGAAGUAUCUCCUGAAGAGAAAACCGAGCAUAAUGUGAUUGAGAGAGUAACGAUUGAGAUACGGGUUGAUUGUGCUAGUUCUUAUAAAAAUAAGAGAGUAAAUUUUGAUUUGAGUGGACAAGAAGUCCAUUGCAAUGUGCUGCUGAGGUACUACGGUGAUGCGUGAGUUACAAAGAGGAGAUUGAUUUAGAUCUGAA